Long non-coding RNA from Eucalyptus grandis, 400 nucleotides. RefSeq lists it as uncharacterized. The transcript has 3 exons. Lineage: Eukaryota; Viridiplantae; Streptophyta; Magnoliopsida; Myrtales; Myrtaceae. The record is from RefSeq and is a predicted model, not a curated record.
CUCAUCGCUCUUUUCAUCUUCUUCAAUAAUUCAGUGAACUCAAAGCUCUGCAGAAGUAAAGGUCCUCGAGAAAAUGGCAGAGGAAGAGCCCAAGAAGGUGGAACCCGAGUCGCCUCAACCUCAACAUCCCCCACCCGAAUCCGAACCCGAAACCGCACCCGUUGAAGAGAAGUCAGUCGUACCUUUACCUCUUCCUCCUCCCCUGCUGCUGCUGAAGACAAAGCAGAUGAUACCAAAGCUCUUGCUGUUGUUGAAAAGCCUAUUGAGACCCCAGUGGUGAAAAGUAAAGACGGUUCUGGUAAUCGAGAUGUUGAGCUUGCAUGAGUUGAGACAGAUAAGAAGUUGUCUUUGAUUAGAGCAUGGAAGAAAAUGAGAAAUCAAAGGCAGAAACAAGUAAGAG